RNAcentral lists this long non-coding RNA (1496 nucleotides) under Sus scrofa (pig). RNAcentral's name for it is "lncRNA (ENSSSCG00025058544.1)". The record is from RNAcentral. Lineage: Eukaryota; Metazoa; Chordata; Mammalia; Artiodactyla; Suidae.
AGUCAGCCCAGCUAGGCUCGAACGGAGGGUGUUUCUUAAAGGGAGAGGCGCUUGGGUUAUCUUUUCCGUCCCACUUUCUUGAAUGGAAUGGACCUCUGAGGUUCCACGACGCGCCUCCACUCGAGCCGGGACGCGUGGUUUGAACUGCUUCUGAGAAGCCUCAAAGAGGCGCCUCGCGCUUUGCUGCUUCUUAGCAGACGGAGCGCUCGGGCCUGCGUGCAUCACAGCUGCACGGACUAGUGUUCAAGCUCUCCGCCAGGGUAUCCGGAUUGGGAAACUUCUCCCGGGUAGUCUGGCACCCCGACACCCUCGGGGACAAAAGAGCCACUCACGUCCCGCCUUCGCGCCUUAGUGCUAAGAGAGGUUCACUUUGGACCUGGAACUUUACGAGGGGGAAGAAAGCAGAGACUGACUGAGUUUGGAGACCUGAAGUAUCUGAUGCCACGUAUGGUUUCGUCUGAGCUCCUGAGAGUGGAAGGGGGGAGAGUAUUGAAGCAAAAUGGGCAGCUCUCUUUUGGAGUUAGGAGUUGUAGUUGGCUACUUUAUGUCUCUUCACCUCAGCUGCAGUCAUUCAAAUAUUUGGGUCCGAACUGUUCCAGGCCGGGUUUUCUUGAGAAGAUUGAGCAGAACCAAACAGAAUCCUUGUUCUAAAGAGUAGGUCUUCCUAUAACAUGAAAGAAUAAUUAGCAGGAUGAGAGUGAGCCAUGCCCUUGGACCACCUGGAGAGGAGAACCCACAGUGUUAGGAGGUUCCCAGAUUAGGGGUCUCAUUGGAACUACAGCUGCCAGCCUAUACCACAGCUACAGAAACUCGGGAUCUGAGCCGUGUCUGCAACCCUACACCACAGCUCAUGGCAAUGCCAGAUCCCCGACCUGCUGAGUGAGGCCAGGAAUUGAACCCCCAUCCUCAUGGGUACUAGCUGGAUUGUUUCCCCUGCGCCACAACAGGAACUCCAGUAUUUGUCUUUUUCUGACUUACUUCACUAGUAUGUUGCUUUCAAGGUCCAGCCGCAUUAUCACAAAUGGGAAGAACUCUUUUUUUAUGGCUGAGUAUUAUUCCAUUGUGCAUAUACACAUCUUCCAUCUCCAUUCAUUCAUCACUGGAUACUUAGGUUGUUUCCAUAUCUUGGCUACUGUAAAUAAUGCGGCAGUGAACAUGGGGGUGCACGAAUCUUUUCAGGUCUGUGUAUUUGUUUUCUUUGGAUAAAUAUCUAGAAGUGGAAUUUUUGGAUUUAAUUUUUUGAGCAACCUUCAUACUCUUUUCUGUAGUAGCUGCAGCAUUUUACAUUCCCAGUCAUGGUGCCCAGAGGUUUCCUUUUCUCUACAUCAGUGUUACCACUUUUUCUUGUCUUUUCGAUAAAAGACAUUCUAAUAAGUUUGAGGUGAUACCUCAUUGUGGUUUUGAUUUUUCUAAUGAUUAGUGAUAUUUAGGAUUUUUCAUGUACCAAUUGGCCAUCUGUAUGUCUUUUUUUGGGGAAAAAAGUGUAUGUCUUAUGC